This is a long non-coding RNA of Canis lupus familiaris (dog), 672 nucleotides long. RefSeq lists it as uncharacterized. The transcript is spliced from 3 exons. NCBI's taxonomy places the organism in Eukaryota, Metazoa, Chordata, Mammalia, Carnivora, Canidae. The record is from RefSeq and is a predicted model, not a curated record.
UCUGAGUAUAGCUGUGGCCACUGUCUAGCUGGCUCUGGGACUUAGACCCAUGGCAGCAUGGUGCACAGCUUAAACUAGAAUUUUACCGUGGCCAUCAAUGCAUCAACAGCUGACUAGUCGGGUCGAUGGCCCAUAUGGUACUGAACACAGUGAGCAACAGCAGCCACAGGUGAUGACACAAACUCUUCCAAGCAGCUGUUACACAGUGACAAGAAGUGAGGUGAUGUAAUCUUAGCUUCGAUCACAUUCACAUUCACCAAACUACUGAGAACAAGAGAAAAAUGAAAAGAUGAAGAGUUCAUGAUGACAAGAGAACACCAAUGCCAAAGGAAACUUAGAAGGCUGGAAUAUUCCUUGUAAAGCAAAAUGCGUGUACUUUUUACGGGGACUUUUUCAAAUGCUGAAAGAGACGGAAAAGGUGAUUGCUUAAACUGAGGCGUGCUGCAAGUUCUUCACCUGAAGAAGCUUAGAAGGCACUCUUUGGAAAAUAAAAUAUAUUUUCUUUGUUGUUCCCACCAAAGAGCCAAGAAAAAGAAGAAGUGCACCUUUCCCAUCCCACAUGUAAGCAAGGUAAAAUCUGUUCUUAUGCAAUCUUUGUUCUGACUCAAUGGCAAGUCUGACUAUUCCUCUUCACAGUAUCCCCGUGUGCUCUCGGGGACACUCCUGACAGUG